CAGUAGCCGCGGGAACAUGAAGGGUGCAAGCGUUACUCGGAAUUACUGGGCGUAAGGCGUACGCAGGCGGUUUGUUAAGUCAGAUGUGAAAUCCCCGAGCUUAACUCGGGAACUGCAUUUGAAACUGGCAAGCUAGAGUCUUGUAGAGGGGGGUAGAAUUCCAGGUGUAGCGGUGAAAUGCGUAGAGAUCUGGAGGAAUACCGGUGGCGAAGGCGGCCAUCUGGGACAACACUGACGCUGAAGCACGAAAGCGUGGGGAGCAAACAGGAUUAGAUACCCGUGUAGUCCCUGUCUCUUAUAC
RNAcentral lists this ribosomal RNA (301 nucleotides) under uncultured bacterium. RNAcentral's name for it is "partial 16S ribosomal RNA". It matches the Rfam family "Bacterial small subunit ribosomal RNA", at positions 509 to 807 of the family's 1533-position model. The record is from RNAcentral.